Long non-coding RNA from Parasteatoda tepidariorum (common house spider), 306 nucleotides. The record is from RefSeq and is a predicted model, not a curated record. NCBI's taxonomy places the organism in Eukaryota, Metazoa, Arthropoda, Arachnida, Araneae, Theridiidae.
AGAAAUAAAGAUGCGUGCAUAAGUAAGUUCACGGCCAUUUUAAACUUAAAGCAAUAUUAUGUUUAAAAAAAUUCAAUUUUCUGCUUUAAAUUUGCAUCGGAAGGCAUUGACAAAGACAAAAAGCUUUAACUUCCUACACAACUUUUAGUGGAUGCAUAUUUUGCAUGAGAUGAUUGCAUAAAUGUUUGCAAACCAGGAAGUUGUAUACACGGAAAAUGUGAAGUUGUGGGUUUUCAAAAAGAAUGCAGGUGUUAUGAAGGUUACGAAGGAGUCGAUUGCGAUACAAAAAUUAUCAAAAUUGCAGGU